Molecule: microRNA precursor, 111 nt
Filed under: Caenorhabditis brenneri
Lineage: Eukaryota; Metazoa; Nematoda; Chromadorea; Rhabditida; Rhabditidae
Description: pre miRNA CBN33724
Source: RNAcentral
AACUUUUAUUUUUUUGUCUCUCUGAGCUACUAGCAACGCUAGAAGUCUACUGUUAGACAGAGUACAGAAAUUUUGUCACAGGACUUUUGAGCGUUGCUGGUUAAUGAGAGC